RNAcentral lists this long non-coding RNA (4753 nucleotides) under Lynx pardinus (Iberian lynx). The record is from RNAcentral. Lineage: Eukaryota; Metazoa; Chordata; Mammalia; Carnivora; Felidae.
GGCAGUGACAGACUUUGUUUUCCUUCAAAUUUCUACUUCCUGAAACCAAGGCUCUUUAUGAUAAACAGUGUAUUUCAGGGAAAUUGUGCUAAAAUUAACCUUUUUCAGAGAUUUGCUGGCCUUAAAAGUGUUUAUCUUCGAGACAAAGGUGAGUAUAAGCUUUUAAAUGACAAAACAGUAGAUGUGGGUACAAAAGAUGGCAUUAUAUAUAAGGAGGUAUUAUUUUAGACUCUGACCUUGUUUCUACUUCCUAGUAUUGUCUGCAUUUAAAUAACUUGAGAGCUUUAAGAAUAUUUGCAAUUCUAAAAGCGCUAUACAAAGGGAAUAAGGGUUGGGAAGGGGAGGGAACAGUAAAUUUAGAUUACAAGGGAAAGGAGAAAAGGAACCUGUUUUUUUGUUUUGUUUUGUUUUGUUUUUUUGUUUGUUUGUUUGUUUUUAGCAGGUUUUAAUAACAAAGUCCAUAUGUCAGGAACCUGGCUACUGAACAUCUGGCUUUGUCACUGAAUGGAGAUGUUUGAUUAAAGCAUUAACGAAGUGGGAUUACUUAUGUGAAAAAUUGACCCUAGGACUUUUGCCUGGAGUACAUUAGUCAUAACAGAAACCAUCACUUGCAGGAUGGCCUCAGUGAUUUUGCCAGGAAAAUAGAUAAGAGUGGAGAAUUACUCUUUUCAUAUGGGAACAACUGACAGGAAUUCCGGGUGUGGUGAAGCAUUAUGUAGACAGAAAGCAUCUAGAAAAAUUAAAUUCUGGGGCACUUGAGUGAAUCAGUCAGUCAAGCGGUCAACUCUUGAUCUUGGCUCAGGUCAUGAUCUUAUGAUCCAUGGGUUUAAGCCCCGCUUCAGAUCCUCUGUCUCUCUCUCUGACCCUACCCCAUUCUCUCUCUCUCUCUCAAAAAUAAAUAAAUAUUAAAAAAUAAUUUUUAAAAAAUUAAAUUCCUUCAUAUUUUAUUCAAAAGAGUCCUUUCAUUAACAAAUUUUAUCAUUUGAAAUUAGGGCUAUAAACUACUUUGGAAAGCCACAAAUUACGACCUUUAGAAUAGUUUGGGACUGGGGCAUCUGUGUGGCUCAGGUGGUUAAGCAUCUGACUUGGGCUCAGGUUAUGAUCUCACAGGUUUGUGGGUUCAGGCUGCAAACUGGGCUCUGUGCUGAUGGUGUGGAGCCUGUUUGGGAUUCUAUCUUCCUCUGUCUCUUCCCUUCCCCCACUUUCACACUCAUGUGCAGGUGUGCUCUCUCUCUCUCUCAAAUAAAUAAAUAAACAUUAAAAAAAAAAAAAGAACAGUUUGGGACUUCCAGGUGGGUGAGAGUACAGAGGCAGGGUCAGAAAGGAGGGUAUUUGUGUCACAACAUACUGACAUUUCUAAUAUUUGCUAUCUCCCUCUGCCUUUUCUUUUUAGUAAGUGUAGCUAGUACUCUUAUGAGAAACAAUAUCUGCUUUUGGUUGGCUGAUACCUCCUUGUUAAGAACAUUUUAAAUUCCUUACACAUAAUCACUGUUGCUGUUCAAGCCUAUACAUGAUGCUUCAGCAUAGUCUCCACAUUCUUUUGUUUUUCCUCUUUCCUCCGUGACCUCAAAUACAAUUGAACGACAUGGUGCAUUAGUGUGAUCGCACCAUAGAGCCAUGCGGCCCUGUCUAGAUGGUGCGUCGGCAGAUUACAAGUCAGCAGAUUACAAAUCUGUACAUUGAGCACAGUUUUGGAUAGGGGUGUGUAUAGAUUAACUUACCACCUAAGAGACAUACCAGACCUGAACAAAUGCUAAGUCAAGCCUUUAUACCAAUUGACUAAAAUAAUUUACUUCUCUUUUUUCCACCUCCUCCUUCUGAACUCUGUCAACCUACAACCUCAAAAGAAAUAAAAUACUUAAAAUUAUGCUGGCAAUAAUUUACUCUCCACUUUAAAUAUCUUUUGAAUCUGAGCUGAAUCAAUUCUCCAAGUUCUUUUCCAACAAGACACCAGAAUUUUAUAGUAUCCUCCAUGGGCAUGAGUGAUGUUAGGGUGACCGGUGAUGCAGGUGGCAAAGACUUGCACAAAGAGUAGAACAUCAAGCAGGACAGAAUGUACUGUUGGCAUGUUAGAGCAGGAGGUGACAGGUUUCUCUGUCCAGGGCUCACCUGGGAUGUGAGUUGUGGUCAGGCUAGAGAAGAAUAUGUUUUGUAGUUGGGGUCUAUUUGCUGAGAAUGCAAGGUACCAUGAUCUGGAAAAACAAAGAGUGCCAGGUAUAAAUACUAGUGAGUUUUGUCUGUAAACUUGGCAAGGGAAGGGGCUGUGAACAGAUUCCUGUCAAAUAAGGAGCCAAUAAUUACUUUAAACUUUAAAAUAUAUACACAUAUAUACAUAUAUAUUAUAUAAUAUAUUACAUAUUAUAUAAUAUUAUAUAUUAUAUAAUAUUAAUUGAUUAAUUAUAAUAUAUUAAUUAAUAUUAUAUUAAUUAUAAUAUAUUAAUUAAUAUUAAUUAAUUAAUAUUAAUAUUAUAUUAAUAUUAUAUAUUAAAGCCAUAUGUAAAUCAUGAUGAAUGUUAUAAAAUCUCACAUAAAAUAAUACUUGUAAUGAGCACACUUGACAUACUAAGCUGUAACAGUCUCCCCUUAGGUCCUAUGUGAUCUAAGUUUGAGUUUAGAACCCAGAAUUUUCCUUAAGAAUAAAUGUAUUCAUUUCAAAAUAUUUCUGAAACUCCAUGGUUCCUCCCAUUGCAAAAGAAUUUCAGUAACCCCUUUCCCUGAACACAAUACACAUACUACUGUUACUGUCCCUUAAUCUAUUUCAGAUGAUGAUGGCUUUUUAGCAUAAAAUGCUCUUUGGAAAUGCUUUCCUGAAUUUUUUUUAAUGUUUAUUUAUUUUUGAGAGAGAGAGAGUGAGAGAGCAUGUGUGUGCACACAUGGGGGAGGUACAGAGAGGGGGACAGACGAUCUAAAGUAGGCUCUGAACUGACAGCACAGAGCCUGAUGCAAGACUCGAACUCAUGAACCGCGAGAUCAUGACCUGAGCCGAAGUAGGCCACUUAACAGACUGAACCACCCAGCCUCCCCUGUUUUCCUGAAAUGUUAAGCAUCUAUGGUUUGAAGAACUUUAAUAGGAAUGUGCAUUCAAACCUUUGGUGUAAAUUCAUUCUAUAUUUUUGUUAUUUUUAUUUGUUGCCUCUCUAUAUGGAGAAGUCUUUGUUUCUUGUUAUUGACAGUGACAUCUUUUUGCAGGAUGUUGUGAUUUGCUCUGUUUAUAGAGUUCUGUGAGAUAGACAAAUUUAAAAAUAAGAAUAUUGUCUGGGGCUAUUAUUCUUCUAUGUCUAAAGAAAGGAAAGAGAUGAUCAUAGCUUUAACAUCAGUUAUAUGUUAAUACAAUUUUCUCAAAGUAUGGUGUACAAACUACUGAUUUUAGGUAGCAUGUGUCUUUGAAAAUUUGAGUUAGAUGCUUAUUUUAAUGUGAAUUAAAAAUAUAACUAGCUCAUAAAAUUUAUGACUUCAUAGAUAUUAUUGCUCAGGAAGAUGUUAAGUAAAAUGGAAGUAAACUGUUCACUACUGAUUUUAAGGAAAUGAGUAAACAAGGUAACAAUUGUGAAGGUGGCAUGUAAAUGGCUAAAGUUUUAGAAAUAUUGAACUAAUGUGUUUGCUAAGUGAAUAUUUUCUGAACCGCUGCAGAAAUGUGAGCCUCACUGGUCCUUGGUUACACUGCUCAAUUAGUAAUACAAUCUGUUAAAAUUUCUUAAUUAUAGAUGUACAAAAUAUUGGAUAAAAAAUGCCUUAUCAAACGUUUAUCAGACCUACAGUCCUCAUGAAUUGUCAUAACAUUGAAGGGAUGCAGAAAUUAGCCCAUAUUUUUUGAAAUCAGAAUCAUAGAGAGGAUGAAUCAUCCCAGAGUCAGCAUUAUACUUCUGUUGUGCCUGUUUCACCAAGACACUGAUAUCUUAGAAGGGCAGGGAGGGGUGCUGUGCACUAAAGGGUGAGAGAGGGGGAGGGGACAUAAACAUCAUCUAGGUCAAGGACCAUCAGUGUAUCAUGUAGUGUGUCAAUGGCCAUUAAAAAUGGUCAUGUUGUUCGUUUCUUUCAGGGAAUCCAUUCUAGGGAGGAUGUAAUUCUAAAUAUGGAGAAAAUCCACACAAGAUGUUUAUCAUAAAGGUAUUUAUGAUACAAGGAAUUACAAGCAUUCUAAAAAAAGGGAAAGAUUAACAAAUUAUGGUAUAACAGUCCCUCCCUUAUCCAUGGUUUUGCUUUCCACAGUUUUAGUUACUUACAGUCAACCACUGCCAGAAGCAGAUGAUCUUCUUUAUGACGCUUCCUCACACGCCUGAGUCAUUCACCUCACUUCAUCUCAUCACAUAGACGUUUUACUGUCUCACAUCAUCACAAGAAGAACAGUGAGUAGUAUAUAGGCAUAUCUCAUUUUAUUAUGCUUUGGUUUAUUGCGCUUUUCAGAUACUGAGUUUUUUACAAACUGAAGGUUUGUAGCAACCCUGGUUCAAACAAGUCUGUCAGCGCUGUUUUUCCAACAGCAUUUGUUCACAAUUUUGUCUGUCAUGUUUUGGUAAUUCUCUUGAAAGUUUCAAACCUUGUCAUUAUUGUGAUAUUGUCAUGGUGAUCUGUGAUUAGUGAUUACAACUUACCGAAAGCUCAGAUGAUGGUUAGCAUUUUCUAGCAAUAAGGUAUUUUUUUCAUUUUGGUGUGUCAUGUUUUGGUAAUUCUCUUGAAAGUUUCAAACCUUGUCAUUAUUGUGAUGUUGUCAUGGUGAUCUGUGAUUAGUGAUUACAACUUACCGAAAGCUCAG